CCAUCCACCCUGAACACACCUAAUCUCAUCUGAUCUUGGAAGUUAAGCAGGGUCAGGCUUGCUUAGUACUUGGACAGGACAGUAAGAAGGA
RNAcentral lists this ribosomal RNA (91 nucleotides) under Carlito syrichta (Philippine tarsier). Lineage: Eukaryota; Metazoa; Chordata; Mammalia; Primates; Tarsiidae. The record is from RNAcentral.